This 470-nucleotide ribosomal RNA is filed under the name uncultured organism. RNAcentral's name for it is "partial 16S ribosomal RNA". It matches the Rfam family "Bacterial small subunit ribosomal RNA", at positions 334 to 796 of the family's 1533-position model. The record is from RNAcentral.
CACUCCUACGGGAGGCAGCAGUGGGGAAUUUUGGACAAUGGGGGCAACCCUGAUCCAGCAAUGCCGCGUGAGUGAAGAAGGCCUUCGGGUUGUAAAGCUCUUUUGUCAGGGAAGAAACGGUAGUAGCGAAUAACUAUUACUAAUGACGGUACCUGAAGAAUAAGCACCGGCUAACUACGUGCCAGCAGCCGCGGUAAUACGUAGGGUGCAAGCGUUAAUCGGAAUUACUGGGCGUAAAGCGUGCGCAGGCGGUUGUGUAAGUCAGAUGUGAAAUCCCCGGGCUCAACCUGGGAAUUGCAUUUGAGACUGCACGGCUAGAGUGUGUCAGAGGGGGGUAGAAUUCCACGUGUAGCAGUGAAAUGCGUAGAUAUGUGGAGGAAUACCGAUGGCGAAGGCAGCCCCCUGGGAUAACACUGACGCUCAUGCACGAAAGCGUGGGGAGCAAACAGGAUUAGAAACCCCAGUAGUCC